This 2217-nucleotide long non-coding RNA is filed under the name Eucalyptus grandis. RNAcentral's name for it is "long non-coding RNA (EGRA_LNC000045)". The record is from RNAcentral. Lineage: Eukaryota; Viridiplantae; Streptophyta; Magnoliopsida; Myrtales; Myrtaceae.
GACAGCCACCAAAUGGGCCUAAGUCAAGCAAGUGAGCCCAUUGGGCCAAACCAACUAUUUCUCUUUCAAAGCCCAUGGUCCAACUUUGAGCCCAAUCAAGCCCAACCAAUUUCCAAGCCCACUCCUAUUCAUGGCCAAGCCCAUUUCUUAGGCCCAUCCACCAAUUUCAGCCCAAGGUCAGAUGUGUAAUUUGUGCAAGGUGGAAAUGACCAAAUUACCCCUAGUUGUAGGGAGAAAAGGCUAGAGAAGAGAGAGAAGAUGAGGCCAUCAUGGGCAUGGGAACUUGGGGCAGGUUUUAUGGAGGCUUUGACAGCCCUCCCAUCACUCUCUCUCUCCCCCAUUCGGUCCCCAUCUCGAACGGAGCUCUCUCUCUCCUCGUUUUCCCUCUCCUUCAGUUCCUGCUCCAGCUGACCCUUCGUCAAAGAAUCGAGUCAAAAGUGGUCUUCCCGGAUGAAUCAGACAACGAGCCACAUAUCACCGUGACCGGGAGAGACAGACCGUUCCAACGAGCCCGAUUUCGUCCCGAACGGAGCCACCGGCCGGCCUGGGCGCCGCCGUGAAGGAACCGGUCGCUGGUCCGUCGGUCCGCCUGCAGCCUGCACUGUUUCGCGGUUUCGGCCAUUUUUCUCCCAUUCCGGUCCUUCCUCCGCCCAUCCCAACCUCCAGCAAGACCCCCAAGAACCCCGGGAGCCACCGGUUGCCAACCACCCACUUGUCGGAGCUCCAAUCGGCCCGUUUUCGCCAUUGAAGCUGCUGGUUUCUUCUCUGCAGUUCAGCCAAGAUCAGAAGCAGAUGACAGCAAGGUUUUGGAGACUUUGUGGCCCGUUUUCAAGCCCUUCCCGGCCUCCGUUGGUGUCGCCGCUUUGGGGUUUAUCGACCGCCUUGGUGUCGUGGUCGCCGUGAACUCACCGGCGUGCAAAACCGGUGAGUUUAUCCUCUAAUUCUUGCUUAGUGAGUUAAUGACGCUUAAGGGGUGUUUAGAUUAGUCUAAUUAGGUUUAGGUGGUUAGAUUAGAUUAUUUUAAUGUAAAUUAGAUUAGUUGUAUGAUUAGCUUAAUGGAUGUUUAAUUAGGGCUAAUUGUAUGUUUAAAUUAGUGUAAUCUAGUUUAAGCCCUAAUUAAUUAUUUUUAAUUAAAUAAUUAUUUCGAAUUUAUAAAUAUUAUUUUAUUAAAUUAUAUUAUUAUAAAAUAAUAUUUAAUUGUUUAAUUUUCGGAAUUAAAUUAAUUAUUUAAUAAUUUCGAAAAUUAUGCCGGGAUGGCCGGUCGUUAGAAUUUCGCGCUGAUCGCAGCAGUGCGGUCGGUUUGUGUUAAUUGUAAGCUUAAAUUGAGAAAUUGAGUGAUUGAUGGUUAUGGUUAAUUAUUCCAAAAGUGUGGAAUUGAGUGAUAUUGAUGAAGUUUUGGUAUUUAACUUGAAAAUACCCGGUGUUGGCUUUUGGCACCGUAAUUGGUUGGUAGGUCCAGUUUGUAUCGAUUGAUUGAAUGGAUGUUUAUGUGGGGAUUUAUCCCAAAGUUGAUUAGUGUUGGUUUUGAUGGGAAAAUGACCGUGAGAGGUUGUGAGUUGAACCUAGAAAGCCACUAAAUCUAAAUUAUGCCGAGUGGGGCCGUGAUGCCACUACAUAUAACAUUGCCGAGUGGGGCCGUGAUGCCACUACAUAUAACAUUGCCGAGUGGGGCCGUGAUGCCACUACAUAUAACAUUGCCAAGUGGGGCCGUGAUACCACUACAUAUAGACUUGCCUAUAAGGCCGUGAUUGAGAGUCGAGAAUGAAUAGUCAGAAUGACCGUGUGAUGAUUUCGAUGACAUGUAAUCGACUGAGUCAAUUGAUCGAUGAAUCGAUCUGAGUGAUUGAAUUGUUUGGAUGAUGUGGUUGUCAAUAUUUAUUGAUUAAACUAACGUGCAUGAAGGAAUUGAGGCGAGGUAAGUCCUCUAUCCUAUUUGUGUGGCUAGAGCGCCCUGAGGCGUAUUUUCUUCCUAAUUGAGUUUUAGAGGGUAGGACUCGCUGAGACGUAGUCUCAUCCCGGUUGUGGGAUAAUAUUUCAGGUCCUUAGAUGACGGUCGUGGAGGACCGGAAGUCCUGGAGUUCGGAAGGUGGAGGCUGAAGAAUCGGCGAACGUGUCUGACAAGUUGGUCAUAGGACAGUUCCCUUUUUGUUGAGCCUGUCUAUUUUGUAGACAUCCAGUGUUGUAUAUAAACCUAUGUGUUUAUAGAAAGCUUGUUUG